Molecule: ribosomal RNA, 738 nt
Filed under: uncultured Rhizophagus
Lineage: Eukaryota; Fungi; Glomeromycota; Glomeromycetes; Glomerales; Glomeraceae
Description: SSU rRNA
Rfam family: Eukaryotic small subunit ribosomal RNA
Source: RNAcentral
GGGUACGGGGUGUUAGGGCACGACACCGGAGAGGGAGCCUGAGAAACGGCUACCACAUCCAAGGAUGGCAGCAGGCGCGCAAAUUACCCAAUCCCGACACGGGGAGGUAGUGACAAUAAAUAACAAUACGGGGUUCUUUAGGAUCUCGUAAUUGGAAUGAGUACAAUUUAAAUCUCUUAACGAGGAACAAUUGGAGGGCAAGUCUGGUGCCAGCAGCCGCGGUAAUUCCAGCUCCAAUAGCGUAUAUUAAAGUUGUUGCAGUUAAAAAGCUCGUAGUUGAAUUUCGGGGUUAGUAGGUUGGUCAUGCCUCUGGUAUGUACUGGUCUCACUGAUUCCUCCUUCCUGAUGAACCUUAAUGCCAUUAAUUUGGUGUUUUGGGGAAUUUGGACUGUUACUUUGAAAAAAUUAGAGUGUUUAAAGCAAGCUAACGCUUGAAUACAUUAGCAUGGAAUAAUGAAAUAGGACGUUCGAUCCUAUUUUGUUGGUUUCUAGGAUUGACGUAAUGAUUAAUAGGGAUAGUUGGGGGCAUUAGUAUUCAAUUGUCAGAGGUGAAAUUCUUGGAUUUAUUGAAGACUAACUACUGCGAAAGCAUUUGCCAAGGAUGUUUUCAUUAAUCAAGAACGAAAGUUAGGGGAUCGAAGACGAUCAGAUACCGUCGUAGUCUUAACCAUAAACUAUGCCGACUAGGGAUCGGAUGAUGUUAAUUUUUUAAUGACUCAUUCGGCGCCUUACGGAACA